Molecule: long non-coding RNA, 315 nt
Organism: Oncorhynchus masou masou (cherry salmon)
Lineage: Eukaryota; Metazoa; Chordata; Actinopteri; Salmoniformes; Salmonidae
Exons: 3
Source: RefSeq, a predicted model, not a curated record
CUGAUACAAGAGGUGUGGUGAUGACCGAUAGAGGAAGUUUAAUCAACAAAUCCGUUUCUUCUGGCAAAGAGGUAUACAGGCUGGCAACAGGAGCCAGUCAGCAGCCGGAGCCACUGUCCUGUCCAAGGGGACACCUCUAUACCAGACCUGAGCCCUAGGACCAUGCCCCAGGACUACUUGACAUGAUGACUCCUUGCUGUCCCCAGUCCACCUGGCUGUGCUGCUGCUCCAGUUUCAACUGUUCUACCUUAUUAUUAUUCGACCAUGCUGGUCAUUUAUGAACAUUUGAACAUCUUGGCCAUGUUCUGUUAUAAU